UGAGGAAUCUUCCACAAUGGACGAAAGUCUGAUGGAGCGACACCGCGUGAAGGAUGAAGGUCUAACGAUUGUAAACUUCUUUUCUGAGGGAGCAUAAUGAGAGUACCUCAGGAAUAAGGGACGGCUAAUUACGUGCCAGCAGCCGCGGUAAUACGUAAGUCCCAAGCGUUACCCGGAAUUAUUGGGUGUAAAGGGUCCGUAGGCGGAUCUAUAAGUUGAAUAUGAAAGACCGAGGCUCAACCUCGCGUUUGUAUUCAAAACUGUAGAUCUAGAAUUAGGGAGAGGUUAGCAGAAUUCUUAGUGUAGGGGUGCAAUCCGUAGAUACUAAGAGGAAUACCAAAAGCGAAGGCAGCUAACUGGAACUAUAUUGACGCUCAGGGACGAAAGCGUGGGGAGCAAAGAGGAUUAGAUACCCUCGUAGUCCACGCCCUAAACGAUGAUAACUAAGUGUUGGGAAUUGUCCCAGUGCUGUAGCAAACGCGUUAAGUUAUCCACCUGAGGAGUACGGUCGCAAGAUUA
This 519-nucleotide ribosomal RNA is filed under the name uncultured Fusobacteriota bacterium. Its description in RNAcentral is "bacterial SSU rRNA". It matches the Rfam family "Bacterial small subunit ribosomal RNA", at positions 355 to 896 of the family's 1533-position model. The record is from RNAcentral. Lineage: Bacteria; Fusobacteriati; Fusobacteriota.